Molecule: transfer RNA, 72 nt
Filed under: Ictidomys tridecemlineatus (thirteen-lined ground squirrel)
Lineage: Eukaryota; Metazoa; Chordata; Mammalia; Rodentia; Sciuridae
Description: Spermophilus tridecemlineatus (thirteen-lined ground squirrel) tRNA
Rfam family: tRNA
About the family: Transfer RNA (tRNA) molecules are approximately 80 nucleotides in length.
Source: Rfam by way of RNAcentral
GGAGAUGUAGUUCAUUGGUAGAGUGCUUGUCUAGCAUGCACAAGGCCCUGGGUUCAAUCCCCAGGACCUCCC